UGGGGAAUCUUGCGCAAUGGGCGAAAGCCUGACGCAGCGACGCCGCGUGGGGGAAGAAGGCCUUCGGGUUGUAAACCUCUUUCAGCAGGGACGAAGCCACUCGGGUGAAUAGCCCAGAGAGUGACGGUACCUGCAGAAGAAGCCCCGGCUAACUACGUGCCAGCAGCCGCGGUAAUACGUAGGGGGCAAGCGUUGUCCGGAUUUAUUGGGCGUAAAGAGCGUGUAGGCGGCCAGACAGGUCCGUUGUGAAAACUAGAGGCUUAACCUCUAGACGUCGAUGGAAACCGUCUGGCUAGAGUCCGGAAGAGGAGAAUGGAAUUCCUGGUGUAGCGGUGAAAUGCGCAGAUAUCAGGAAGAACACCCGUGGCUAAGGCGGUUCUCUAGUACGGUACUGACGCUGAGACGCGAAAGCGUGGGGAGCGAACAGGAUUAGAUACCCUGGUAGUCCACGCCGUAAACGAUGGGUGCUAGGUGUGGGGGGUGUCGACUCCCCCCGUGCCGAAGCUAACGCAUUAAGCACCCCGCCUGGGGAGUACGGCCGCAAGGCUAA
This 550-nucleotide ribosomal RNA is filed under the name uncultured Actinomycetes bacterium. RNAcentral describes it as "bacterial SSU rRNA". It matches the Rfam family "Bacterial small subunit ribosomal RNA", at positions 355 to 897 of the family's 1533-position model. Lineage: Bacteria; Bacillati; Actinomycetota; Actinomycetes. The record is from RNAcentral.